UCAUUCUCAUCUAACAAUCUUCCCUUUCUUCUCCGAAGAGUCGCUGGCACCACCACCACCAUCGUCCCUCGUGCCCAGCUCGUGCCCGCCACCACCGCCGUCACUCCUCACUUUCUUCAAACACUGAUGUUGCUUUGGGUUUUUUUGCUUUGGGGUUGUCGACGAAAAGAAUGCUGUGAGCAUCAAACAUGUUUGUUAAUUUUCAGAUUCUUUUCAUGGGUUGUCUUGGUCCAUGGACGAGAGAUCGUUGAAAGAUGCGUUUUCUUCCUUUGGGGAGGUUACUGAAGGUAAUCGUGCAUGUUGAGCUUAACCCUUUGAUUUACCAGUUGUAGUCUACGUGUUCGACGAAAUGUCUAGUUGAUUUCAGACCUCAGUUCAUCACGUGUGCUUCUGGGUCGAAACAUUUUGCUUCCUUGACUUUCAUAAUUCCAAGGUUUUUCUUUCUAAAACUAAAUUUUGUUUCAUUGAAGUUUCUUCUUUUAUAAUUCUUGUAACGAGAGAGAAAAUGAGUUUGAGAUGUUUAGGAUUUAGGAGCGUUUUGUUUCGUAGCGUUUUACUAUGCUUUUGUGAUUUUCUUGGAAUAUUGAGACAAACCAAACAAUGAGAAAUAUAGAGAUUGAAAUAAUAACGAAUUUGAGAGGUGGGAAACUAGAAUUUAUAUAUGAGGUAAAAGGAAUUUGAUGUCCAUUGGUAAUCACUCUGGAACUUCACCAACAAAAUAGCUUUUGGGGAUGAAGUUCAUUUGAUAAGUUUAGAUGAAA
Cucumis melo (muskmelon) is the source of this 761-nucleotide long non-coding RNA. RefSeq lists it as uncharacterized. The record is from RefSeq and is a predicted model, not a curated record. The transcript has 3 exons. Lineage: Eukaryota; Viridiplantae; Streptophyta; Magnoliopsida; Cucurbitales; Cucurbitaceae.